CCUACGGGUGGCAGCAGUAGGGAAUAUUGCUCAAUGGGGGAAACCCUGAAGCAGCAACGCCGCGUGGAGGAUGAAGGUUUUCGGAUUGUAAACUCCUUUUGGUAGAGAAGAUAAUGACGGUAUCUAACGAAUAAGCACCGGCUAACUACGUGCCAGCAGCCGCGGUAAUACGGAGGGUGCAAGCGUUACUCGGAAUCACUGGGCGUAAAGAGCGCGUAGGCGGGAUAGCAAGUCAGAUGUGAAAUCCUAGGGCUUAACCAUAGAACUGCAUUUGAAACUGUUAUUCUAGAGUAUGGGAGAGGUAGGUGGAAUUCUUGGUGUAGGGGUAAAAUCCGUAGAGAUCAAGAGGAAUACGCAUUGCGAAGGCGACCUGCUAGAACAUAACUGACGCUGAUGCGCGAAAGCGUGGGGAGCAAACAGGAUUAGAUACCCUAGUAGUC
RNAcentral lists this ribosomal RNA (440 nucleotides) under uncultured bacterium. RNAcentral describes it as "partial 16S ribosomal RNA". It matches the Rfam family "Bacterial small subunit ribosomal RNA", at positions 338 to 795 of the family's 1533-position model. The record is from RNAcentral.